Molecule: ribosomal RNA, 497 nt
Filed under: uncultured bacterium
Lineage: Bacteria
Description: partial 16S ribosomal RNA
Rfam family: Bacterial small subunit ribosomal RNA
Source: RNAcentral
GAUGAACGCUGGCGGCGUGCCUAAUACAUGCGAGUCGAGCGAACAGACGAGGAGCUUGCUCCUCUGACGUUAGCGGCGGACGGGUGAGUAACACGUGGAUAACCUACCUAUAAGACUGGGAUAACUUCGGGAAACCGGAGCUAAUACCGGAUAAUAUAUUGAACCGCAUGGUUCAAUAGUGAAAGACGGUUUUGCUGUCACUUAUAGAUGGAUCCGCGCCGCAUUAGUUAGUGGGUAAGGUAACGGCUUACCAAGGCAACGAUGGGUAGCCGACCUGAGAGAGUGAUCGCCCACCUGGGAACUGAGAAAGGGUCCAGACUCUUACGGGAGGAAGCAGUAGGGAAUCUUCCGAAAUGGGGGAAGGCUUGACGGAGCAACGCGGCGUGAGUGAUGAAGGUCUUCGGAUCGUAAAACUCUGUUAUUAGGGAAGAACAAAUGUGUAAGUAACUAUGAACGUAUUGACGGUACCUGAACAGAAAGCCACGGCUAACUACGUG